GUGGGGAAUAUUGGACAAUGGGGGGAACCCUGAUCCAGCCAUGCCGCGUGUGUGAAGAAGGCCUUUUGGUUGUAAAGCACUUUAAGCGAGGAGGAGGCUACCGAGAUUAAUACUCUUGGAUAGUGGACGUUACUCGCAGAAUAAGCACCGGCUAACUCUGUGCCAGCAGCCGCGGUAAUACAGAGGGUGCAAGCGUUAAUCGGAUUUACUGGGCGUAAAGCGCGCGUAGGUGGCCAAUUAAGUCAAAUGUGAAAUCCCCGAGCUUAACUUGGGAAUUGCAUUCGAUACUGGUUGGCUAGAGUAUGGGAGAGGAUGGUAGAAUUCCAGGUGUAGCGGUGAAAUGCGUAGAGAUCUGGAGGAAUACCGAUGGCGAAGGCAGCCAUCUGGCCUAAUACUGACACUGAGGUGCGAAAGCAUGGGGAGCAAACGGGAUUAGAAACCCGGGUAGUCC
This 451-nucleotide ribosomal RNA is filed under the name uncultured bacterium. RNAcentral's name for it is "partial 16S ribosomal RNA". It matches the Rfam family "Bacterial small subunit ribosomal RNA", at positions 354 to 796 of the family's 1533-position model. The record is from RNAcentral.